This 286-nucleotide unclassified non-coding RNA is filed under the name soil metagenome. RNAcentral's name for it is "partial contains small subunit ribosomal RNA, internal transcribed spacer 1, and 5.8S ribosomal RNA". The record is from RNAcentral.
UUUCCGUAGGUGAACCUGCGGAAGGAUCAUUAGAACAUUUUUUCUCACCUCGGACCGAGCCCGUAAGGGCGAGGGAAGAGGUGAGAGAAAUUUCAAUAAUACCACAAACACAAAAAAAGAACAUGUUUAUAAGAGUUUUACACUUUUUGUUUUUUACAAUCCCUUUUCACAAUUCACAAACACAAAUAGAAUUUUUUGUCUUAUCAAAAUGAGCAUGAUCUUUUUCAUACUCUAACAAAUAACAAAACAUCAAAAACAACUCUUAGCAACGGAUAUCUUGGUUCUC